RNAcentral lists this ribosomal RNA (1030 nucleotides) under uncultured organism. Its description in RNAcentral is "bacterial SSU rRNA". It matches the Rfam family "Bacterial small subunit ribosomal RNA", at positions 238 to 1300 of the family's 1533-position model. The record is from RNAcentral.
CCAUCAGCUAGUUGGCGGGGUAACGGCCCACCAAUGCAAGGACGGGUAGGGGGUGUGAGAGCAUGGCCCCCCACAAUGGGACUGGAACACGGCCCAUACUCCUACGGGAGGCAGCAGCAGGGAAUAUUGCACAAUGGACGGAAGUCUGAUGCAGCGACGCCGCGUGGAUGAAGAAGGCCCUCGGGUUGUAAAAUCCUUUACAGGGGGAAGAGGAAGGACGGUACCCCUGGAACAAGUGUCGGCUAACUACGUGCCAGCAGCCGCGGUAAGACGUAGGACACAAGCGUUAUCCGGAUUUACUGGGCGUAAAGCGUCUGCAGGCGGACAGGUAAGUUGGGCGUGAAAGCUCCGGGCCCAACCCGGAGAGGUCGUUCAAUACUGCGUGUCUAGAGGGUGUCAGAGGGGAGUGGAAUUUCCGGAGUAGCGGUAAAAUGCGCAGAGAUCGGAAAGAACACCAAUGGUGAAGGCAGCUCCCUGGGGCAACCCUGACGCUAAGAGACGAAAGCUAGGGGAGCGAACAGGAUUAGAGACCCUGGCAGUCCUAGCCCUAAACGAUGGAUGCUGGAUGUGGGGCCAUAGCGCUCCGUGUCGAAGCGAACGCGUUAAGCAUCCCGCCUGGGGACUACGGCCGCAAGGUUAAAACUCAAACGAAUUGACGGGACCCCGCACAAGCGGCGGAGCGUGUGGUUUAAUUCGAUGCUACACGAAGAACCUUACCUGGGUUUGACAUCUAGGUGGUAGUGAAGCGAAAGCGGAGCGACCCUUCGGGGAGCCUAGACAGGUGCUGCAUGGCUGUCGUCAGCUCGUGCCGUGAGGUGUCGGGUUAAGUCCCGUAACGAGCGCAACCCUUGCCCUCCGUUAUACGUGUCAGAGGGGACUGCCGGCGGUAAGCCGGAGGAAGGUGGGGAUGACGUCAAGUCAGCAUGGCCUUUAUAUCCAGGGCUACACACACGCUACAAUGGCCAGUACAAAGGGCAGCGAAGCCGCGAGGUGGAGCGAAUCCCAGCAAAGCUGGUCGUAGUUCGGAUUG